RNAcentral lists this long non-coding RNA (1724 nucleotides) under Parus major (Great Tit). RNAcentral describes it as "lncRNA (ENSPMJG00000004600.1)". Lineage: Eukaryota; Metazoa; Chordata; Aves; Passeriformes; Paridae. The record is from RNAcentral.
CAAAGCACCUUUGCAUAGAUCGGGUUCAAAAGGAACCAAUUUUACAACGAGAGGGGGAGGGGAACGGAAACGGGGGGAAAAAAUGCCCCUCCCCCACCCCCCGGAACCCCCCCAACUCUGCUGGGCCCGGUCCUGAAACAAGAUGGCCGCCAGGGUUUAAAAUGGCUGCCAGGAGUCAUGGCGGGAGGCAAGAUGGCCGCCGGGUUUCGGUGUCAGCUCGCAGUCAAGAUGGCCGCCGGGAAUCAAGAUGGCCGCCGGGAAUCAAGAUGGCUGCCGGGAAUCAAGAUGGCCGCCGGGAGUCACGGCAGCGCGUGGUUCAAGAUGGCCGCUGGUUCUGACAGGCGCUGGAGCAAGAUGGCCACUAACAAUGAUGUCAUCAGCGUCAAGAUGGCCACCACCUGUGACGUCACAAAGUCCAAGAUGGCCGCUCAUGACGUCACCAGCUCUGACGUCACCACAUUCAAGAUGGCCGCCAACGACAUCCAAGAGUCCGACACCAGCUCACAUUUCAAAGAUGGACGCCACCGGUGACGUCACCAAUCCUCACGUGGUCACCGGAAGUGACGUCACAGACGCACGGCGCCGCCAUCUUGGAUUCACUGAGGCGGCCAUCUUGGACCUGGCCCAGCGGCCACGCCCCAAGCCUCGUCGGCCAUCUUGGGGUCAAGCAGAGGUCACGGUCUCGGCCAUUUUUGGGUCACUUUCGGCCAUUUUGAGGCGUUAAGGCUGGUCCUGUCGGCCAUGCUGGGGACGAUCCGAGCUCGCCGUUUCGGCCACCUUGGGAUUGUCCACGGAUCACGUGACCACAUCCACGCCGCUGUCGGCCAUUUUGUGCCGCUCCCGCCGUCGGCCAUCUUUUCCCGUCCCGCCGCCGCCGCCAUCUUGCCGCGCCCGUCACGUCUUGGCCUUCCUCCCCCUCAGAGCCGUCCCCGCCCCCGCGGGCNGAUGCUCUGGGGGUCUUUAAAGAGAAUUUUGAGGGCAAAUGAGGAAUUUAGGGGAGGAAAUGAGGGUCCGGGGGAGCCUUUGGGAGAAAAAUUCGGAAUUAUUUAGGGGAUUUUGGAGGGAAAUUGAAAAUUCGGGAAGGUUUUGGGGAUGGUUUUAGAAAGGAUUGAGGGUUUGGGUGGAUGGGGGAGGAUUUGGGGGAUAUUAAACUGAAUUCUGGGACUAAAAGCGUAGGAUUUGGGGGCUUUGGGGUGAAGGGCGAUUUUGGGGAGGGUCUCAGGAAACACUUGGGCAGUUCCGGGAUGGAAUUUGAGGCGGGGUUUGGGUGAUGAGGCAAAAUUUAAAGCACAGAAUUUGUGGUUUUGGGUUGAAAAAAGGAAGAUUCGGGGACGUUUGGGCCGCAGAGGGGACUGAAGGGGAUCCCAGGCCGGGAAUUCAGAGAAUCUCUCGGGUCAGGAUUUGGGGAGAAUUCGGAGGAUUUUGGGGAGAUUUUGGGAUGGCCGGAAGCCCCGCGAAAGCCUCAUUAAAUAUUUAAGCGCACUCGGAGACAAAUUCUGGGGGAAUUUCGGGCUUUUUGAACGACAAAAGGAGCCGGGCGCCAGCGGAUGGAAUUGAAGGGCUUUGUGGGGGGUCACGGGAGAGAAUGGGGGGCAUUUUGGGAAGAACUUCAGCGAUUUUGGGCCCUUUCAGAGCUCAGCGCCGCCUGAGGGGCCAAAAUGGCGGCCCGAGGGGACCCUGAGGGGAGGGGGCCGCAACGGCGCCUCGGGGAGGCCCGGGAACGC